AAGGAUCAUUACAAAUCCGUGAGUUUGGGCGUGUUGGUUGGUGGUGGUGGUAGUGGGUUAAUUAAUCGUUAACUCCUUCUGCUGCUCACAGCCCCCGCCUGAAUGAACACAUUGGCUCAAGGCCUUCUGGCUUUGAUGUUUACGCUUGUUUGUUUGACAGAGUAAAAUGUGACUAAAUAUAUACAACUUUUAACAAUGGAUCUCUUGGCUCUU
This 213-nucleotide unclassified non-coding RNA is filed under the name uncultured fungus. Its description in RNAcentral is "partial contains 18S rRNA, ITS1, 5.8S rRNA, ITS2 and 28S rRNA". Lineage: Eukaryota; Fungi. The record is from RNAcentral.